UACGAAGGGGGCUAGCGUUGUUCGGAAUCACUGGGCGUAAAGGGCGCGUAGGCGGCUUGGCAAGUCAGGUGUGAAAGGCCUGGGCUCAACCCAGGAACUGCACUUGAGACUGCCUCGCUUGAGUCCGGGAGAGGAUGGCGGAAUUCCCAGUGUAGAGGUGAAAUUCGUAGAUAUUGGGAAGAACACCGGUGGCGAAGGCGGCCAUCUGGACCGGUACUGACGCUGAGGCGCGAAAGCGUGGGGAGCAAACAGG
Molecule: ribosomal RNA, 253 nt
Filed under: uncultured bacterium
Lineage: Bacteria
Also listed under: 1 other name
Description: partial 16S ribosomal RNA
Rfam family: Bacterial small subunit ribosomal RNA
Source: RNAcentral